CCUACGGGAGGCAGCAGUGAGGAAUAUUGGUCAAUGGACGAGAGUCUGAACCAGCCAAGUAGCGUGAAGGAUGACUGCCCUAUGGGUUGUAAACUUCUUUUGUAUGGGAAUAAUAUGCUUCACGUGUAGGGUUUUGUCAGUACCAUACGAAUAAGGAUCGGCUAACUCCGUGCCAGCAGCCGCGGUAAUACGGAGGAUGCGAGCGUUAUCCGGAUUUAUUGGGUUUAAAGGGUGCGUAGGGGGGUUUUUAAGUUAGUUGUGAAAGUUUGGGGCUCAAACGUAACAAUGCAAUUAAAACUGGAGGGCUAGAGAACAGUAGAGGUAGGCGGAAUUAGUGAAGUAGCGGUGAAAUGCUUAGAUAUAACGUAGAACACCGAUAGCGAAGGCAGCUUACCAGACUGAGUCUGACACUGAUGCACGAAAGCAUGGGUAGCAAACAGGAUUAGAUACCCGUGUAGUC
RNAcentral lists this ribosomal RNA (460 nucleotides) under uncultured bacterium. RNAcentral describes it as "partial 16S ribosomal RNA". It matches the Rfam family "Bacterial small subunit ribosomal RNA", at positions 338 to 795 of the family's 1533-position model. The record is from RNAcentral.